UUUGAUCCUGGCUCAGAGCGAACGUUGGCGGCGCGCCUAACACAUGCAAGUCGAGCGCGAAAAGGAUUCGUCCUAAGUAGCGCGGCGCACGGGUGAGUAACACGUGAGUAACCUUCCUUCGGGCUCGGGAUAACACGCCGAAAGGCGUGCUAAUACCGGAUGAGACCACGUAUCCUUCGGGGUGUGUGGGAAAAGACGGGGACCGGAAACGGCCUGUCACCUGAAGUUGGGCUCGCGUCCUAUCAGCUAGUUGGUGAGGUAAUGGCUCACCAAGGCUAAGACGGGUAGCUGGUCUGAGAGGAUGGCCAGCCACACUGGAACUGAGACACGGUCCAGACUCCUACGGGAGGCAGCAGUGGGGAAUUUUGCGCAAUGGGCGAAAGCCUGACGCAGCGACGCCGCGUGUGCGAUGAAGGCCUUUGGGUCGUAAAGCACUGUCGAGUGGGAAGAAAGUCUUGAGGUUAAUACCCUCAAGAUCUGACGGUACCGCUAAAGGAAGCACCGGCUAACUCUGUGCCAGCAGCCGCGGUAAUACAGAGGGUGCAAACGUUGCUCGGAAUCAUUGGGCGUAAAGCGCGUGUAGGCGGCUUGAAAAGUCGACUGUGAAAGCCCUUGGCUCAACCAAGGAAGUGCAGUCGAUACUCUCGAGCUAGGGUGCCGAAGAGGGUGGCGGAAUGCGCAGUGUAGAGGUGAAAUUCGUAGAUAUUGCGUAGAACACCGGUGGCGAAAGGCGGCCACCUGGGAGGUAACUGACGCUGAGACGCGAAAGCGUGGGGAGCAAACAGGAUUAGAUACCCUGGUAGUCCACGCCGUAAACGAUGAGCACUAGUGUUGCGGGUAUUGACCCC
Molecule: ribosomal RNA, 848 nt
Filed under: uncultured bacterium
Lineage: Bacteria
Description: bacterial SSU rRNA
Rfam family: Bacterial small subunit ribosomal RNA
Source: RNAcentral